Malus domestica (apple) is the source of this 1913-nucleotide RNA transcript. RefSeq lists it as uncharacterized. NCBI's taxonomy places the organism in Eukaryota, Viridiplantae, Streptophyta, Magnoliopsida, Rosales, Rosaceae. The record is from RefSeq and is a predicted model, not a curated record.
AAUAACAACUCAGCAGCCAUAUUUCUCAGGGCCUGAGCGAUCGAAUGAUUAGCAACUUCCUUUUGGCGUCGUCAGUCGUAUUUCCGGCAAAUCACUGCAGCUUUUUACCCUCCAAAAUUCCCGAAAUUCCAAAUCGGCAGCGUUUAUCUGAUCGAAUCCCUUCUGGGUUUUGCUUUUCAAUCCUCGAAUCGAAUUGGGUUAAUUUCAAUUUCAAAUUUUUGAUUUGAUCCAAUCUCUGAUUUCAAUUCUCUGAAAGCUCUGUUUCUGUCUUCAACUUUUCAAAACCUUUUCUGUCUCUGUAGAGUCCAGUACUAGGGCUGUUGGCAGUGGGUAGGGUUUUCUGAAAGCGAAAAAGGCAAAGAGCAGAAGAUCAUGGACCUCAGCGCCUUCUGGGACCACGUGUCCGUCACGUGACUCUGAGAAUUUCCCUUUUGUUUCAGUCGUCGUCUUCCUUGAUCCUCUCUUCUCUCUCCCUCUCCCUCUCUCUCUCUCUCUCUCUCUCUCUCUCUAUGUUUGUGUGUAUAUGGCUUACCAGCAGCAACAACAGCAAGGAGGGGCUCAGCUGUUCAAUUCCCCGUUCGGGGACACGACGUUGACGAAGGUGUUCGUGGGGGGAUUGGCCUGGGAGACCCAGAGCGACACUCUACGACGUCACUUCGAGCAGUUCGGCGAAAUCCUCGAGGCUGUCGUCAUCACCGAUAAGAACACCGGCCGAUCCAAAGGCUAUGGCUUUGUCACAUUUCGUGAUCCUGAAUCUGCAAGAAGGGCUUGCUUGGAUCCCAAUCCUGUGAUCGAUGGCCGCAGAGCUAACUGCAAUCUUGCUUCUCUGGGUCGUCCCCGCCAACCUUUCCUUUUUCAUGGGCAAGUGAGAUCACCAGCUCCAAUCCUCGGCCGCGUGCAGCCGCCUAGAGCUGCUUACAUGGGGAGCCCCAACCCUGCUUACCACCACCCUAUUCCUCAUGGUUACCAGCCCGGGUUCGUGUACCCGUCUUAUGGGUACACAGGAUAUGGACCUGAAUUUGUCUACCCACAGGGUGCCUACAGUCCUUACAUGACUCAGCAGCAAUACCUUCAGAUAUAUGGGGUACCAGGCACAGUCAACCCUGGCGUAUAUUCAUAUGGACAAUUGGGUCAGUCACUCCCUGGAAGCCAUGGAUAUGCAACAGUUCAAAACUAUGGAGUUCCAGGUCAUCAUGUAAUGCAAUUCGGUGGGGCCAAUGUCGGUGCAGCAUCCCCAGCUGCCAUUCCAACGAUUCAAACACCAUAUCCUGCAGGUAUAGUUGCACCAGCUCCAGGACAGACGCAGUAUAUGCUUCCUACUAAUUCUCCUCAAUUCACCAGUGGUUCCGAUCAAACUGCAGGUUGAGUGGUAAAUCAGAAGGGUCACUUCUGGAGGUAAUCCUUAUUGCAGCAGGACUAUGAGAAGCUACUGCUACCUAAGUGGCAGCCUCUAAAUCUAGCCUUGCAAGUUAUUAUCUUUACUUUCUAGAGGUGACACCUGUUUUCCCUUAUAAAGUCAUUCAUGGUGGUCAUCGGAGAUACUUCAAAGUCAGCUGUUAGAUGUUAAAGAGGAUGGAAGAGCAUCAUGGGUUGUUGCUUUUUUCACCUGGUGGUGUCUGUAAAAUAUGCCGUUGCAGUGCCACGUGGCUCAAAGCCGCUUGGCACGAUAUUAUGGGUCAUUGCGUGUUUGCCGGAAAUAUGGUUUUCCGGCAGACGCAGCGUAAUAAGACUGUAAAUGUGUAAAUAACCCUAAACUUUCUUCUGUAUCAAAGAAAGAAUCAAUACGAUUCGUUUCAUGGACUCUGGACCCAACAUAUGGGUUCAGUCAUUGUCGAGUCUCACACAUUGUAUUUACCACCGAAAAAAAAUCAUUGUUCAAAUUUGAAUUUCUCUAUUCAAUUGGCGCUUCUUCA